CAGUCGCCGCGGUAAUACGUAGGUGGCAAGCGUUGUCCGGAAUUAUUGGGCGUAAAGGGCUCGCAGGCGGUUUCUUAAGCCUGAUGUGAAAGCCCCCGGCUCAACCGGGGAGGGUCAUUGGAAACUGGGAAACUUGAGUGCAGAAGAGGAGAGUGGAAUUCCACGUGUAGCGGUGAAAUGCGUAGAGAUGUGGAGGAACACCAGUGGCGAAGGCGACUCUCUGGUCUGUAACUGACGCUGAGGAGCGAAAGCGUGGGGAGCGAACAGGAUUAGAUACCCCGUAGUCCCUGUCUCUUAUACA
RNAcentral lists this ribosomal RNA (301 nucleotides) under uncultured bacterium. RNAcentral's name for it is "partial 16S ribosomal RNA". It matches the Rfam family "Bacterial small subunit ribosomal RNA", at positions 509 to 808 of the family's 1533-position model. The record is from RNAcentral.